This is a long non-coding RNA of Prionailurus viverrinus (fishing cat), 244 nucleotides long. RefSeq lists it as uncharacterized. The transcript is spliced from 3 exons. Lineage: Eukaryota; Metazoa; Chordata; Mammalia; Carnivora; Felidae. The record is from RefSeq and is a predicted model, not a curated record.
UGUGGAAGGAUUGCUGUGCCCUUCACGGUGAUGUGACUGCCUGAAGUUGGAUGCAUCCUGCUCUCGAACAUCUCGGGCACGGCUUAGCCCAGGAGACAGCAGCUCGUCCCUGAGUGUGGGGUGGCCUGGCUGGCAACUUUAGUUCUGCUCCUUCAUGCCUGUGCCUGAAGAGCCCCCUGGACUGCCUCUCCCCCACUCAGCAUGCCUUUUUCACCUCCUUGGCCACGGCCACUUGCUCCGAGGU